GAAUUCGCCCUUAGAGUUUGAUCCUGGCUCAGGGUGAACGCUGGCGGUAUGCCUAAGACAUGCAAGUCGCACGGUCCAGUUUCGGCUGGACAGUGGCGGACGGGUGAGUAACACGUGGGAGACGUGCCCUCAAGCGGGGGAAAACCAGGGGAAACCCUGGCUAAUCCCCCAUGUGGACGCCUGCUCUGGCGGGUGUCUAAAGCUUCGGCGCUUGAGGAUCGGCCCGCGGCGCAUCAGGUAGUUGGUGGGGUAAAGGCCCACCAAGCCGACGACGCGUAGCUGGUCUGAGAGGACGACCAGCCACAGGAGCACUGAGACACGGGCUCCACUCCUACGGGAGGCAGCAGUUAGGAAUCUUCGGCAAUGGGCGAAAGCCUGACCGAGCGAUACCGCUUGAAGGAUGAAGCCCUUCGGGGUGUAAACUUCUGAACUCGGGACGAUGAUGACGGUACCGAGGUAAUAGCACCGGCUAACUCCGUGCCAGCAGCCGCGGUAAUACGGAGGGUGCGAGCGUUACCCGGAUUUACUGGGCGUAAAGGGCGUGUAGGCGGUCCUUCAAGUCCGAUGCUAAAGACUGGGGCUCAACCCCAGGGCUGCGUUGGAUACUGUGGGGCUAGACGGUCGGAGGGGGUAGCGGAAUUUCCGGAGUAAGGGCGAAUUC
Molecule: ribosomal RNA, 661 nt
Filed under: uncultured bacterium
Lineage: Bacteria
Description: bacterial SSU rRNA
Rfam family: Bacterial small subunit ribosomal RNA
Source: RNAcentral